RNAcentral lists this ribosomal RNA (433 nucleotides) under uncultured bacterium. RNAcentral describes it as "partial 16S ribosomal RNA". It matches the Rfam family "Bacterial small subunit ribosomal RNA", at positions 29 to 507 of the family's 1533-position model. The record is from RNAcentral.
AACGAACGCUGGCGGCAGGCCUAACACAUGCAAGUCGAGCGGACCCUUCGGGGUUAGCGGCGGACGGGUGAGUAACGCGUGGGAAUAUGCCCUUCUCUACGGAAUAGUCCUGGGAAACUGGGGGUAAUACCGUAUACGCCCUUUGGGGGAAAGAUUUAUCGGGGAAGGAUUAGCCCGCGUUAGAUUAGGUAGUUGGUGGGGUAAUGGCCUACCAAGCCGACGAUCCAUAGCUGGUUUGAGAGGAUGAUCAGCCACACUGGGACUGAGACACGGCCCAGACUCCUACGGGAGGCAGCAGUGGGGAAUCUUAGACAAUGGGGGCAACCCUGAUCUAGCCAUGCCGCGUGAGUGAUGAAGGCCUUAGGGUUGUAAAGCUCUUUCAGCUGGGAAGAUAAUGACGGUACCAGCAGAAGAAGCCCCGGCUAACUCCGUG